AUACGGGGGGGGCGAGCGUUGUCCGGAAUUAUUGGGCGUAAAGGGCGCGUAGGCGGAAUAGUAAGUCAGAAGUGAAAAUCAUGGGCUUAACCCAUGACCUGCUUUUGAUACUGCUAUUCUCGAGUGCGAGAGAGGAAAGCGGAAUUCCCGGUGUAGCGGUGAAAUGCGUAGAUAUCGGGAAGAACACCGGUAGCGAAGGCGGCUUUCUGGCUCGCAACUGACGCUGAGGCGCGAAAGCGUGGGGAGCAAACAGGAUUAGAAACCCCAGUAGUCC
Molecule: ribosomal RNA, 274 nt
Filed under: uncultured bacterium
Lineage: Bacteria
Description: partial 16S ribosomal RNA
Rfam family: Bacterial small subunit ribosomal RNA
Source: RNAcentral